RNAcentral lists this unclassified non-coding RNA (176 nucleotides) under rhizosphere metagenome. RNAcentral's name for it is "partial ribosomal RNA internal transcribed spacer region". The record is from RNAcentral.
GUAGGUGAACCUGCGGAAGGAUCAUUAGUGAACGCCCUCACGGGCUUAACAAACCAAUACCAAACCUCUGUGAACCUUUCCGGCCCUCGGGCCGGAACCCCUUUACAAACAUGGUGUAACGAACGUGAUGUAUCAUAACAGAAACAAAACUUUCAACAACGGAUCUCUUGGCUCUC